This 567-nucleotide ribosomal RNA is filed under the name uncultured bacterium. Its description in RNAcentral is "bacterial SSU rRNA". It matches the Rfam family "Bacterial small subunit ribosomal RNA", at positions 337 to 917 of the family's 1533-position model. The record is from RNAcentral.
UCCUACGGGAGGCAGCAGUGGGGAAUUUUCCGCAAUGGGCGAAAGCCUGACGGAGCAAUACAGCGUGAGGGAAGACUGCCUAUGGGUUGUAAACCUCUUUUUUCAGGGAGGAAUAAAUGACGUGUACCUGAAGAAUAAGCAUCGGCUAACUCCGUGCCAGCAGCCGCGGUAAGACGGAGGAUGCAAGUGUUAUCCGGAAUCACUGGGCGUAAAGCGUCUGUAGGUGGUUUAAUAAGUCAACUGUUAAAUCUUGAGGCUCAACUUCAAAAUCGCAGUCGAAACUAUUAGACUAGAGUAUAGUAGAGGUAAAGGGAAUUUCCAGUGGAGCGGUGAAAUGCGUAGAUAUUGGAAAGAACACCGAUGGCGAAAGCACUUUACUGGGCUAUUACUAACACUCAGAGACGAAAGCUAGGGUAGCAAAUGGGAUUAGAUACCCCAGUAGUCCUAGCCGUAAACAAUGGAUACUAGAUGUUGAACAGAUCGACCUGUGCAGUAUCAAAGCUAACGCGUUAAGUAUCCCGCCUGGGAAGUAUGCUCGCAAGGGUGAAACUCAAAGGAAUUGACGGA